GCUCACAGAUCAUUAUUAACAUUCUGUAUAUAAUUCAAUUUUAUUUGCUCUCCCCUUUUUUAUUAUUUUUAUUUUUAUUUUUAGCUGAAAAGACAUAAAGGAAGCCCAGUGGUGUUUCUGUUGAGGGAUUCCUUCAGAAAUGGAGAAGACAGAAAGCUGCGGAGGCAGAUAUCUCCAGCAGUCUAAAAAUAUCGAGCUCAACAGCUAUUUUAAGAGCCAACCCUCACAAACCUUCCUAAAAACUAAAAGAGCUAUUACUGUGUCUCAGCGAAUCUUGCAAUGAUCAGCUCUUCCCAGAAGAUAAGGAAGACCAAGUAAAUGAUUUGCUCAGGAUGAGGAAUGAAGAUGGCCAUCUUGUGCUCAAACAAACAGAAG
Carassius gibelio (silver crucian carp) is the source of this 375-nucleotide long non-coding RNA. RefSeq lists it as uncharacterized. The transcript is spliced from 3 exons. Lineage: Eukaryota; Metazoa; Chordata; Actinopteri; Cypriniformes; Cyprinidae. The record is from RefSeq and is a predicted model, not a curated record.